Molecule: non-coding RNA, 31 nt
Filed under: Rattus norvegicus (Norway rat)
Lineage: Eukaryota; Metazoa; Chordata; Mammalia; Rodentia; Muridae
Source: RNAcentral
UCGGCUUUCACCAAGUGUGGAGCCUCUGCCU